Molecule: unclassified non-coding RNA, 257 nt
Filed under: plant metagenome
Description: partial contains small subunit ribosomal RNA, internal transcribed spacer 1, and 5.8S ribosomal RNA
Source: RNAcentral
UUUCCGUAGGUGAACCUGCGGAAGGAUCAUUAUCGUAAAACCGAGGUGCGAGGGCUGUCGCUGACCUUUUCGGUCGUGCACGCCCGAGCGCUCUCACACAAUCCAUCUCACCCCUUGUGCACCACCGCGUUGGUCCCUUUCUGGCUCGUCCGGAGGGGGGCUCGCGUUUUCCCACAAACUUGAAGUAGUGUAGAAUGUCCUUUUUUUGCGAUAACACACAAUCAAUACAACUUUCAACAACGGAUCUCUUGGCUCUC